CCGGCGACCGGCGCACGGGUGAGUAACACGUAUGCAACCUGCCCUCUUCAGGGGGACAACCUUCCGAAAGGGAGGCUAGUCCCGCGUAUAUCGGUUUCGGGCAUCCGAGAUCGAGGAAAGAUUCAUCGGAAGAGGAUGGGCAUGCGGCGCAUUAGCUAGACGGCGGGGUAACGGCCCACCGUGGCGACGAUGCGUAGGGGUUCUGAGAGGAAGGUCCCCCACACUGGUACUGAGACACGGACCAGACUCCUACGGGAGGCAGCAG
Molecule: ribosomal RNA, 265 nt
Filed under: uncultured bacterium
Lineage: Bacteria
Description: partial 16S ribosomal RNA
Rfam family: Bacterial small subunit ribosomal RNA
Source: RNAcentral